RNAcentral lists this ribosomal RNA (497 nucleotides) under uncultured bacterium. RNAcentral describes it as "partial 16S ribosomal RNA". It matches the Rfam family "Bacterial small subunit ribosomal RNA", at positions 28 to 507 of the family's 1533-position model. The record is from RNAcentral.
GAUGAACGCUGGCGGCGUGCCUAAUACAUGCAAGUCUAGCGAACGGACGAGAAGCUUGCUUCUCUGAUGUUAGCGGCGGACGGGUGAGUAACACGUGGAUAACCUACCUAUAAGACUGGGAUAACUUCGGGAAACCGGAGCUAAUACCGGAUAAUAUUUUGAACCGCAUGGUUCAAAAGUGAAAGACGGUCUUGCUGUCACUUAUAGAUGGAUCCGCGCUGCAUUAGCUAGUUGGUAAGGUAACGGCUUGCCAAGGCAACGAUGCAUAGCCGACCUGAGAGGGUGAUCGGCCACACUGGAACUGAGACACGGUCCAGACUCCUACGGGAGGCAGCAGUAGGGAAUCUUCCGCAAUGGGCGAAAGCCUGACGGAGCAACGCCGCGUGAGUGAUGAAGGUCUUCGGAUCGUAAAACUCUGUUAUUAGGGAAGAACAUAUGUGUAAGUAACUGUGCACAUCUUGACGGUACCUAAUCAGAAAGCCACGGCUAACUACGUG